Molecule: ribosomal RNA, 497 nt
Filed under: uncultured bacterium
Lineage: Bacteria
Description: partial 16S ribosomal RNA
Rfam family: Bacterial small subunit ribosomal RNA
Source: RNAcentral
GAUGAACGCUGGCGGCGUGCCUAAUACAUGCAAGUCGAGCGAACAGACGAGGAGCUUGCUCCUCUGACGUUAGCGGCGGACGGGUGAGUAACACGUGGUUAACCUACCUACAAGACUGGGAUAACUUCGGGAAACCGGAGCUAAUACCGGAUAAUAUAUUGAACCGCAUGGUUCAAUAGUGAAAGACGGUUUUGCUGUCACUUAUAGAUGGAUCCGCGCCGCAUUAGCUAGUUGGUAAGGUAACGGCUUACCAAGGCAACGAUGCGUAGCCGACCUGAGAGGGUGAUCGGCCACACUGGAACUGAGACACGGUCCAGACUCCUACGGGAGGCAGCAGUAGGGAAUCUUCCGCAAUGGGCGAAAGCCUGACGGAGCAACGCCGCGUGAGUGAUGAAGGUCUUCGGAUCGUAAAACUCUGUUAUUAGGGAAGAACAAAUGUGUAAGUAACUAUGCACGUCUUGACGGUACCUAAUCAGAAAGCCACGGCUAACUACGUG